AACACCAGGCAGUGGAGAUCAUGCAGGCCAUCUUAGAAUUUUGGCUACCACAUGGUCCUGUUUUCAUCUCUCAACCCUGGAGGAUUUUUGGAACUUUUGCUUAUCUUCACUAUUCGAAAAUUCUGGGAAGCUGUUCUGUUCUUGGAUUCACGUCAUGUCUGAUGAUAUGAAAUUCAUUCCUAGCUAUGUCGCACAACAGGCAAGAAGGAAUCAAUAAAGCCAUCAGAGUGGAAGAUAUUCCCCAUGGGAGCAAAGAUAUCCUCCUAGGAAGAUUGAUGAUCAGGAGCAACUGAGGUAAAAAGGGAGAGAGACCCCGAGGAAUGUGGGUAGAUCAUUGGGAGAGCUAGUAACCAUGAUGUCAGACACCAGGGUGUUCCUGAGAGGGAUGCUGUUCCUUUAGAAUGUGAGCCACAACUGCCCAUGAGGAGUUGGCAGUCAUGUUACCUUCUUACUUUUACUGGAAAAUGCUAAGUUCUUUCCUGCCCAUCAUCUAUUGAAUUCAUUCAUCCAUUCCUCUCGCAGCCCCUUGCAUGGUAUACCCAUUCUCAAAUGUUGUAUCUU
RNAcentral lists this long non-coding RNA (561 nucleotides) under Equus caballus (horse). RNAcentral's name for it is "lncRNA (ENSECAG00000054574.1)". Lineage: Eukaryota; Metazoa; Chordata; Mammalia; Perissodactyla; Equidae. The record is from RNAcentral.